Helianthus annuus (common sunflower) is the source of this 2769-nucleotide long non-coding RNA. RefSeq lists it as uncharacterized. NCBI's taxonomy places the organism in Eukaryota, Viridiplantae, Streptophyta, Magnoliopsida, Asterales, Asteraceae. The transcript has 4 exons. The record is from RefSeq and is a predicted model, not a curated record.
AUAAAAACAUUCUAAACACCGCUUCUUCCCCACCACACAAACCCUAAUUUCAUUUUCAAUUAUCUCUGCCGUUCUUCUCUACCUCUCUUUCUGCCUUGAAUCACCCAUUCGUUUCUCUAAUCCAUAUCUCCUACAUCUUCUUAUCGCUUCUACUUCAGCAAUUCUACCUCAUCCAUACCUAAAUCUAUUUUCUUUGGAUCUUCUUCUCUUUGUAAUCAGGUACCCGUCGAACUAUAUUUUGGAUUUUAUACGAGGAUUUGUUUUUCUAUGAUUCAAGCUUCAAGAAUCAGGUCGUCUCCAGAAUUCCAGCCGUCACUAUCAUAUGGAUCGGUUACUGAAAUUGUUUAAUUAGGUUGUUGUUAAAGGAUGGAAUCUAUAUACAGAACAAUGAUUCACGCAUAUGUUCUAUUCGAUUAGCCUUUGUUAUGACAAUUUUGUAUUUUGAUUUGAUUUUGUUUAACUAAUUUUAUUUGAUUUUUUAUCAGAUUUGGAAAUUAUUAGAUAAAGACAUGAUAGAGGUCGUGUUCUUUCCUGUUGUGAAUGGAAUUUCCAUCUUACAGGUUCUUUUUCAUGUUUUGAUCAUUUAUUUUUUAAAUAUUAAUACAAAUUUCAACAUAUGUCUUGUAAAGGGAGGGACUAUGUUGUGGGAGUUCUGGUUGAAUCUAAGGUAGCGUUUGGUAUGAAGGAAUGAAAGGUGGAAUGAAAUGGAUCAUUCUAAUGGAAUGAAAAUAAUCAUGUUUGGUUAUCAUGUGGUAAUUGAAUGGAGCAUUCCAAGGGAAUGUAACUCCUUCCAAAUAUAAUAAUUUCCAUUCCUUGGUAUGUAGGUGUUUUUUUUCCAUUCCCUCAAGGAAUGGAAAGAAAUAUGUUGUUAUUGUUAUUAUUAUUAUUAUUAUUAUUAUUAUUAUUAUUAUUAUUAUUAUUAUUAUUAUUAUACUUAUACUUUUAUUUGUAUUUAUAUUUAUAUUUAUUAAUACUCAUACUAAUAUUAAUAUAUAUGAAAAUCUAUUACUAAUUUUUUAUCAUUAAUAUAUUAUUAUUAUUAUUAUCAUUAUUAUUAUUGAGUCAAUUAUAUUUUUGUCGUUUUUAAUACAAUUGUGUUUCUUUACUUCAUCUUUUUUUGUUUAUCAAAUUGUACAAAGUAAUAAUUCAUUCUAUUCACAUAUGAGUAACCAAACAUCACAAUGGAAUGGAAUGAUCCAUUUCAUUCCGUUGUCCAUUCCAUUACCUCGUCCAUUCCAUUCUCUCAUCUAUUCCAUUACCCCAUACCAAACAGACCCUAAGUAUAUGUGUAUGGGAGGUUGAAUGAAUGGUCAAAGAUGUAUGGGAGUUCUUCAAGCCUUGUGACUAUUUGGCUAUGAGCACUUCACUUGGGUCUCCUUCGGUUACAAUUUCUUUAAUCAUUUUCUUUUCACAUUGUGUAGUUAUUGAGUUUUGAUCACUUAUUUCUGCAUAGUUAGGGUUUAGAGUUCCUGUAAAUUAUUGAUUAUGGAGAGAUGUGUAGUUAUUGAGUUUUGAUCACUUAUUUCUGCAUAGUUAUGGUUUAGAGUUCCUGAAUAUUAUUGGUUAUGGAGAGAAUGUGUAGCUGUGCUUCAUGAAUCUUUGUUAUUAAUAUAACACAAUGGACAGAGAAACAAAGAGAAUGAAACAAGCUUCUUCAAUUCUUUAUUAGAAAACAAAAGAGCGGUACGGUGUGUGAGAAUUGAAUUCAGUUGAAGAAUAAUUGAAAUAUUAUAAUAAAUCUCUUUUGUUUUUUCUUUCUACAUAUAUGUAGACACAUAUAGGCGUAAAUGUAUGUACUCUUAUUUUGAAUUUGAGACUUGCUAUAUGAAGAUUAAUGAUAUAGAGUUGGUGAUUGUGUGUGCUUUAUAAAUCGUAGUUGUUUGUUAAUCCAAUAUGAGAUUAUCUUACAAUUAUCUCGCUUCGUUUUAACUUUGUUUCAAUGAUUUGAUGUUAAGAUUAGGGCUACAUCAAUGUAAUCAGUUUAGCGUUUAUUUUUGUUCAUAUUACAUUUUUUUACAUAUCAAUACAUAUUAGGGUUUUUUUGUUCAAAUUUGUUACAUCAAUUUGUUCAUAUUAGGGUUUUUUUUUGUUCAAAUUUGUUACAUCAUAUAUAGUGCUGGAAGGAGAUCCUAUCUUAGUUUAAAGUGGGCUGAACGGGCUUGAAUUGUUGUUAACAAGAUUCCAGGUAUAUAUGUUCUUCAUUGCUAUCUGCCUUUGGUUCCAUUCAGGUAGGAAAUUUUACAUCUCCGAGUGGAUAGGUAACGUGUCAUUCGGAGGGGAUAGGUAAUGGGUCAAAAUGGAUAGAGUUUAAAGCAAAAAGUAUGUUGAUAUCAAAUUUGAAGAUUUAAUAUCUAGAUAAAGACUACUUUGAGUUUCAAUAUGACGUAUUUUUAUUCUCUUGUGCACUUCAGUUUAUGAAUUCAUUUGAUUACAGAUUGCAAGCAAUGGGUUUUGAAGUAUGUUGGGAGACUUGAGUACCAGAUAUGGAGACUUGAUUACCAACUCUGAACUUGCAGUUUUGUCAUUUGGCUGGUUACCAUGUUAUUUAGUGAAUAUUCUUUUGUAGUUUAGUCAAGCCAAAAUCUUCUGAAUCGUUCAAUUUCAUUUACUGUAGGAUUGAGCUACAUCUUCUACUUUUGAUCCAUCAUUUAGCUGUUAUAUAUAAUAGAUAUGUAAUAACUUAUUCAUCAUCAUGUUUUAAGUAAAUAGCAUGUUGCUUUCAAUUGUUAUUGUUCUAAUUAUGCAACUUAUAUGGUAAUUCAGAGCGGC